GUAAUACGUGAGUAACCUGCCCUUGACUCUGGGAUAAGCCUGGGAAACUGGGUCUAAUACUGGAUACUACCGUCCACCGCAUGGUGGGUGGUGGAAAGGGUUUUACUGGUUUUGGAUGGGCUCACGGCCUAUCAGCUUGUUGGUGGGGUAAUGGCUCACCAAGGCGACGACGGGUAGCCGGCCUGAGAGGGUGACCGGCCACACUGGGACUGAGACACGGCCCAGACUCCUACGGGAGGCAGCAGUGGGGAAUAUUGCACAAUGGGCGGAAGCCUGAUGCAGCGACGCCGCGUGAGGGAUGACGGCCUUCGGGUUGUAAACCUCUUUCAGUAGGGAAGAAGCGAGAGUGACGGUACCUGCAGAAGAAGCGCCGGCUAACUACGUGCCAGCAGCCGCGGUAAUACGUAGGGCGCAAGCGUUGUCCGGAAUUAUUGGGCGUAAAGAGCUCGUAGGCGGUUUGUCGCGUCUGCUGUGAAAGCCCGGGGCUCAACCCCGGGUCUGCAGU
RNAcentral lists this ribosomal RNA (505 nucleotides) under Kocuria rosea subsp. polaris. RNAcentral describes it as "bacterial SSU rRNA". It matches the Rfam family "Bacterial small subunit ribosomal RNA", at positions 110 to 627 of the family's 1533-position model. The record is from RNAcentral. Lineage: Bacteria; Bacillati; Actinomycetota; Actinomycetes; Micrococcales; Micrococcaceae.